Molecule: ribosomal RNA, 372 nt
Filed under: uncultured organism
Description: partial 16S ribosomal RNA
Rfam family: Bacterial small subunit ribosomal RNA
Source: RNAcentral
GGGGGGGCAAGCGUUGUUCGGAAUUACUGGGCGUAAAGAGCUCGUAGGCGGCCAACUAAGUCGGACGUGAAAUCCCUCGGCUCAACCGAGGAACUGCGUCCGAUACUGGAUGGCUUGAGUCCGGGAGAGGGAUGUGGAAUUCCAGGUGUAGCGGUGAAAUGCGUAGAUAUCUGGAGGAACACCGGUGGCGAAGGCGGCAUCCUGGACCGGCACUGACGCUGAGGAGCGAAAGCCAGGGGAGCAAACGGGGAUUAGAUACCCCGGUAGUCCUGGCCCUAAACGAUGAAUGCUUGGUGUGGCGGGUAUCGAUCCCCUGCCGUGCCGAAGCUAACGCGAUAAGCACUCCGCCUGGGGAGUACGGUCGCAAGGCUG